RNAcentral lists this ribosomal RNA (462 nucleotides) under Streptococcus mutans. RNAcentral's name for it is "bacterial SSU rRNA". It matches the Rfam family "Bacterial small subunit ribosomal RNA", at positions 28 to 472 of the family's 1533-position model. Lineage: Bacteria; Bacillati; Bacillota; Bacilli; Lactobacillales; Streptococcaceae. The record is from RNAcentral.
GACGAACGCUGGCGGCGUGCCUAAUACAUGCAAGUGGGACGCAAGGGAACACACUGUGCUUGCACACCGUGUUUUCUUGAGUCGCGAACGGGUGAGUAACGCGUAGGUAACCUGCCUAUUAGCGGGGGAUAACUAUUGGAAACGAUAGCUAAUACCGCAUAAUAUUAAUUAUUGCAUGAUAAUUGAUUGAAAGAUGCAAGCGCAUCACUAGUAGAUGGACCCGCGUUGUAUUAGCUAGUUGGUAAGGUAAGAGCUUACCAAGGCGACGAUACAUAGCCGACCUGAGAGGGUGAUCGGCCACACUGGGACUGAGACACGGCCCAGACUCCUACGGGAGGCAGCAGUAGGGAAUCUUCGGCAAUGGACGAAAGUCUGACCGAGCAACGCCGCGUGAGUGAAGAAGGUUUUCGGAUCGUAAAGCUCUGUUGUAAGUCAAGAACGUGUGUGAGAGUGGAAAGUUUA